GCCAGGCACUGUGGCGAAUGCCUGUAAUCCAGAGACUUGGGAGGCUGAGGCAGGAAGAUCAGCAACUUAGUGAGGCCUCAAGCAACUCAGCAAGGCCUUGUCUUUA
This 106-nucleotide small RNA is filed under the name Marmota monax (woodchuck). Lineage: Eukaryota; Metazoa; Chordata; Mammalia; Rodentia; Sciuridae. The record is from RNAcentral.